GACGAACGCUGCGGCGUGCUUAACACAUGCAAGUCGAACGAUGAAGCCUAGCUUGCUAGGUGGAUUAGUGGCGAACGGGUGAGUAAUACGUGAGUACACCUACCUUUAACUCUGGGAUAAGCCCGGGAACUGGGUCUAAUACCGGAUACGACCAAUCUCCGCAUGGGGUGUUGGUGGAAAGCGUUAUGUAGUGGUUAUAGAUGGGCUCACGGCCUAUCAGCUUGUUGGUGAGGUAACGGCUCACCAAGGCGACGACGGGUAGCCGGCCUGAGAGGGUGACCGGCCACACUGGGACUGAGACACGGCCCAGACUCCUACGGGAGGCAGCAGUGGGGAAUAUUGCACAAUGGGCGCAAGCCUGAUGCAGCGACGCCGCGUGAGGGAUGACGGCCUUCGGGUUGUAAACCUCUGUUAGCAGGGAAGAAGAGAGAUUGACGGUACCUGCAGAGAAAGCGCCGGGUAACUACAA
This 469-nucleotide ribosomal RNA is filed under the name Rothia mucilaginosa. RNAcentral's name for it is "bacterial SSU rRNA". It matches the Rfam family "Bacterial small subunit ribosomal RNA", at positions 28 to 506 of the family's 1533-position model. The record is from RNAcentral. Lineage: Bacteria; Bacillati; Actinomycetota; Actinomycetes; Micrococcales; Micrococcaceae.